This 414-nucleotide ribosomal RNA is filed under the name uncultured microorganism. Its description in RNAcentral is "bacterial SSU rRNA". It matches the Rfam family "Bacterial small subunit ribosomal RNA", at positions 9 to 419 of the family's 1533-position model. The record is from RNAcentral.
GAGUUUGAUCGUGGCUCAGAUUGAACGCUGGCGGCAUGCCUUACACAUGCAAGUCGAACGGCAGCAUGAUCUAGCUUGCUAGAUUGAUGGCGAGUGGCGAACGGGUGAGUAAUACAUCGGAACGUGCCCUGUAGUGGGGGAUAACUAGUCGAAAGAUUAGCUAAUACCGCAUACGACCUGAGGGUGAAAGUGGGGGACCGCAAGGCCUCAUGCUAUAGGAGCGGCCGAUGUCUGAUUAGCUAGUUGGUGGGGUAAAGGCCCACCAAGGCGACGAUCAGUAGCUGGUCUGAGAGGACGAUCAGCCACACCGGGACUGAGACACGGCCCAGACUCCUACGGGAGGCAGCAGUGGGGAAUUUUGGACAAUGGGCGAAAGCCUGAUCCAGCAAUGCCGCGUGUGUGAAGAAGGCCUUC